Molecule: transfer RNA, 68 nt
Filed under: uncultured Garciella sp.
Lineage: Bacteria; Bacillati; Bacillota; Clostridia; Eubacteriales; Eubacteriaceae
Rfam family: tRNA
About the family: Transfer RNA (tRNA) molecules are approximately 80 nucleotides in length. Their secondary structure includes four short double-helical elements and three loops (D, anti-codon, and T loops).
Source: RNAcentral
UGAUGUAGCUCAAUUGGUAGAGCAACUGACUUGUAAUCAGUAGGUUGUAGGUUCAAGUCCUAUCAUCA